ACCAUGGUUUGAAUGUUUUUGUUUUCAUGAAUGGCCGAAUGUUGCGUCGCUAUAAAAGUUGCAGCCGCAAGGAGUUGUGGGGCGGCAUUAUCUCCUUUCCUUUGGUAAAGGAUGCUCCAGUGCAUCCUAUGCUAAAUGAGAUAAUA
This is a long non-coding RNA of Sebastes umbrosus (honeycomb rockfish), 146 nucleotides long. RefSeq lists it as uncharacterized. The transcript has 3 exons. NCBI's taxonomy places the organism in Eukaryota, Metazoa, Chordata, Actinopteri, Perciformes, Sebastidae. The record is from RefSeq and is a predicted model, not a curated record.